AUUGAACGCUGGCGGCAGGCUUAACACAUGCAAGUCGAGCGGGGAAAAGUAGCUUGCUACUUUACCUAGCGGCGGACGGGUGAGUAAUGCUUAGGAAUCUGCCUAUUAGUGGGGGACAACAUCUCGAAAGGGAUGCUAAUACCGCAUACGUCCUACGGGAGAAAGCAGGGGACCUUCGGGCCUUGCGCUAAUAGAUGAGCCUAAGUCGGAUUAGCUAGUUGGUGGGGUAAAGGCCUACCAAGGCGACGAUCUGUAGCGGGUCUGAGAGGAUGAUCCGCCACACUGGGACUGAGACACGGCCCAGACUCCUACGGGAGGCAGCAGUGGGGAAUAUUGGACAAUGGGGGGGACCCUGAUCCAGCCAUGCCGCGUGUGUGAAGAAGGCCUUUUGGUUGUAAAGCACUUUAAGCGAGGAGGAGGCUACCGAGAUUAAUACUCUUGGAUAGUGGACGUUACUCGCAGAAUAAGCACCGGCUAACUCUGUGCCAGCAGCCGCCGUAA
RNAcentral lists this ribosomal RNA (501 nucleotides) under uncultured bacterium. Its description in RNAcentral is "partial 16S ribosomal RNA". It matches the Rfam family "Bacterial small subunit ribosomal RNA", at positions 30 to 523 of the family's 1533-position model. The record is from RNAcentral.